UACGUAGGGGGCAAGCGUUAUCCGGAUUUACUGGGUGUAAAGCGUUCGUAGGCGGCAAGGUAAGUCUGAUGUUAAAGCCCGGGGCUCAACUCCGGUUCGGCAUUGGAUACUAUCUAGCUAGAAUGUGGUAGAGGUAAAGGGAAUUCCUGGUGUAGCGGUGAAAUGCGUAGAUAUCAGGAGGAACAUCGGUGGCGAAAGCGCUUUACUGGACCAUUAUUGACGCUGAGGAACGAAAGCCAGGGGAGCAAAUGGG
This 253-nucleotide ribosomal RNA is filed under the name uncultured cyanobacterium. Its description in RNAcentral is "partial 16S ribosomal RNA". It matches the Rfam family "Bacterial small subunit ribosomal RNA", at positions 524 to 776 of the family's 1533-position model. The record is from RNAcentral. Lineage: Bacteria; Bacillati; Cyanobacteriota.